This 253-nucleotide ribosomal RNA is filed under the name uncultured bacterium. RNAcentral's name for it is "partial 16S ribosomal RNA". It matches the Rfam family "Bacterial small subunit ribosomal RNA", at positions 524 to 776 of the family's 1533-position model. The record is from RNAcentral.
AACAGAGGGGGCAAGCGUUGCUCGGAAUUACUGGGCGUAAAGGGCGCGUAGGCGGGAUGGCAAGUCGGUCGUGAAAUCCCUCGGCUCAACCGAGGAACGUCGAUCGAUACUGCUGUUCUUGAGGAUUGCAGAGGAGACUGGAAUUCCCGGUGUAGCGGUGAAAUGUGUAGAGAUCGGGAGGAACACCGGUGGCGAAGGCGGGUCUCUGGGCAAUUCCUGACGCUGAGGCGCGAAAGCGUGGGGAGCAAACGGG